RNAcentral lists this small RNA (287 nucleotides) under Acyrthosiphon pisum (pea aphid). RNAcentral's name for it is "rabX4-like". The record is from RNAcentral. Lineage: Eukaryota; Metazoa; Arthropoda; Insecta; Hemiptera; Aphididae.
UUUUCAAGGCUGGGCAAGUUAACUAUUUUUUUUAACUCGUUAAGUUAAGUUAAUUUGGAAAAAUGUAAGUUAAGUUUAAAGUUAAAAGUUACUUUCCUUUUUUAUUUAACUUGUUAAAGUUACAAGUUAGUUGGAAAAAAUAAGUAACUUAACUUAGUUAAAAAUAAUUUACUUUUUUUUUUUCAUAUAAAACUUAUAAUUACACCAUUUACACCUCAUGUUAAAGUUCUACAAAUAACAUAAUAUUAUAAUGUAGGUCUUUAUAUCUUAAAAAAAUGUAUUUUGUU